Long non-coding RNA from Brachypodium distachyon (stiff brome), 1274 nucleotides. RefSeq lists it as uncharacterized. NCBI's taxonomy places the organism in Eukaryota, Viridiplantae, Streptophyta, Magnoliopsida, Poales, Poaceae. The transcript is spliced from 2 exons. The record is from RefSeq and is a predicted model, not a curated record.
CCCACUACGGCACUACCCCACCUGCUCCCUCCCCUUCCCUCGUCAACGCAGCGCAAGAGGGCAAGGGGCUACCUUUUUGCCCUGAGAGCUUCUGCGCAGCGGCCCCUCGCGGUCCUCAGCCACCUCCGCUUCAACAUCGCGGCCCCACAUGAAGCCCCCGCUCGCCGUGCAGCUCGUACGCUGUUGUAAUCGUGCGCUGCGAGCACCACGCCGCGAGCCCAUCCGUCCACAUAUCCUGGCAACCCAACCGUCGCGCGCCUCCCGGGUACCAGUCCGUCUUCCCCCCCGGCCACUCUCCCUUGCGCGUCCCCUCUUUUCCUGCCUCGCCCCCCUCUGUCUCUCUCCCCUUCUGCGUUGCCCUUGCUGCUAAUUGGACGAUUAAUAAUGUUGUGUUCUCAACAAAGCUACCUGAUCGAUCUUGGUAUGCUUGGAUUGGUUUGUUAACCAAGCACUGGAGUCCUAGCUCCCCAGUCUGCUGGACGGCAUCGCAGAUAAAUUCAGUGUGGUGUGUGUGAUUGAUCAACGGUAAAUUCAGCUAUGUGAUUUUGCAGGAGUUUUGAGUGGAAGAAGCCACCCACGCCAUCCCCUGCUACUAGCCGCGCCUUCCCUGCUUUCUUGCCUAUAUCUUUUUACUAGGAACUUUUCCACUUGGAUGGCCUGAAUAUUAGGGGCUUAAGGAAAUGUCUUAUACCAGACCAGUCUUAGACUCUUAGGAUUCUGUGCUGAUUCCAUGAGUGCAUCAUGAAUUCCUGGUGGUUUUCUUCAGAUUGUCAUCUGAUCAUGAAUUUCUCAUUGUUGAUCUGAAUUAUGCAAGCAUAAAUUACAGUGAGCUCCUGUUUUAAGCACUAUCUGGCUGUGUGUCCUUCAAAUACUGAAGUUGAUGUUCUGGGAUAUAUUUUUCUGAACCCUUUGUGGGUCAUUAGAAAACUCAUUAGGCUAUGCUUUCUAUGCAGAAUUUUUAGUCGAGUUUACUUUCAUUUGGAACCUGUAACACUUGAUUUUGAGAUCAAGAGAUGGGCUGCUUGGAAGGAAGACAACAUGAAGCCCUUGUUAUCAAGAUUUCAAUAUGUUAAUAUGAUGUUUCCAGUAUUGAUACAUCUUAAUUUGUGUGCUCUUGUUGGCAAACUAAUAUUUUACUGAGCCCUAAAAAAUGUGGCCAAGCCAUGAUUCUUGUUAAACAUAUUAUUUUUGCUCCACAAUGAGCUCGGUGAAUGACUUCAAAAUUAUCAAAGUGUAAGAAAUUUGUGGUUAAAUUUUAACUUAAACUAGCUGAA